CUUCCAGGAUCGGGGCGGGCUCUGCGGCAGGGACGAUGCCGCUGCCGGGCCGGGGAAAGGCACCUUCCCCCCACUGCCAAAAAGCUGGGAAGGGAUAACCUCUUCCUGCAGCUGCCUGGAUUUGCUGUUGGCCCUGGGCUUUCUGUGCCCCUCGUGGCCACGGGCUGAUGGCAGGAUCGCUCCAGCCUUGGGACAGACGGCCUGAAGGGGAAGACUGAAGCAAGCGGGGCCAGAAAGAACUGGAGUUUCUGGAGAAUAAAAGCUGGAAGUAUGCCCCUGAAAAUCCCCCCCCCCCGGGUGGUCAGUGGUCUGACUUGCACGGACCGGUGGCCUUGACCAGGAGCGGAGCGGGCUUGCAGGGAGGUAUUCACCUGGUCAGCGUCAGGAACCAUCCUGAGGCCUUGGCUCCCUCUUUCCCUUCGGUCGUCGUGGGUGUGCCGGACACCUCUGGCAGGACUAACCCCGUGGCUUUUAUGUCUAACAUGCUGUAUGCCUGCAGCAUCCUGUACAAGACAAAGCUACCUUUCUUUCCUCGUGGGAAUGGACCGGCCGGGCUUUGGCAAUCUGGCCCCUCGAAAGACUAAGUGACCUCUUCCAGCAGGGGAAGACUGAAGCAAGGGGUGCCAGGAAGAACUGGAGUUUCUGGAGAAUAAAAGCUGGAAGCGUGCCCCUGAAAGUCCCCA
Molecule: long non-coding RNA, 683 nt
Filed under: Manacus vitellinus (golden-collared manakin)
Lineage: Eukaryota; Metazoa; Chordata; Aves; Passeriformes; Pipridae
Description: lncRNA (ENSMVIG00005002844.1)
Source: RNAcentral